Molecule: ribosomal RNA, 465 nt
Filed under: uncultured bacterium
Lineage: Bacteria
Description: partial 16S ribosomal RNA
Rfam family: Bacterial small subunit ribosomal RNA
Source: RNAcentral
CCUACGGGUGGCAGCAGUAGGGAAUCUUCCACAAUGGACGAAAGUCUGAUGGAGCAACGCCGCGUGAGUGAAGAAGGGUUUCGGCUCGUAAAGCUCUGUUGGUAGUGAAGAAAGAUAGAGGUAGUAACUGGCCUUUAUUUGACGGUAAUUACCUAGAAAGUCACGGCUAACUACGUGCCAGCAGCCGCGGUAAUAGGUAGGUGGCAAGCGUUGUCCGGAUUUUUUGGGCGUAAAGCGAGUGCAGGCGGUUCAAUAAGUCUGAUGUGAAAGCCUUCGGCUCAACCGGAGAAUUGCAUCAGAAACUGUUGGACUUGAGUGCAGAAGAGGAGAGUGGAACUCCAGGUGUAGCGGUGGAAUGCGUAGAUAUAUGGAAGAACACCAGUGGCGAAGGCGGCUCUCUGGUCUGCAACUGACGUUGAGGCACGAAAGCGUUGGGAGCAAACAGGAUUAGAUACCCCGGUAGUC